This 2624-nucleotide unclassified non-coding RNA is filed under the name Hevea brasiliensis (rubber tree). The record is from RNAcentral. Lineage: Eukaryota; Viridiplantae; Streptophyta; Magnoliopsida; Malpighiales; Euphorbiaceae.
AGAAAUUUCUCUACUGAAAGAAGAGGAGUACCACGCCACAAAACAUAAAAUGCGCAGCUGGCGGCGGAUCCUGGAGAGAGGAGAGAAAACCAAAGUAAUAUCACAUGCAUAUGAGCAUAUCCUCCGGUUUUACCAGAACCAACGGCUACGAUCAAACCUCAUUACCACAAUCCAACGGCCCUAACCACAACCGCGUUUACAAACCCAACACGGGAACCCUCGGAAUCUCUUUUAACAAACAAUCAUAAAUCCUCUACUUAGACCCUAACCGUGUCUCCCUCCCUCUCUCUCAAGCCAAGAACUCAGAUUUAUAUUUACAAUCUAACUAUUGAAACUCAGAUUCAUUUCCUUUUUCUUUGAAAUCUGAUUCCAUAUAGAAUAGGUACGUAUAUAUUCGUUUGGAUAAUAAGGUAAGAUGCAAUCCAACGGCUCCGAUUCACAGCAGCAGGAGCAGAACCAACGCCAGCAACAGCCGCCGCCUCCACCUCAGCUGCCUCAACAGCAGCAGCAGCAGUGGAUGGCGAUGCAGUAUCCAGCGGCUGCCAUGGUAAUGCAGCACCAAAUGAUGCCACCUCAGCAUUACUCGUCUCCACCGCCGCAGCACUACAUGGCUGCGUACCACCAAUACCACCAUCACCACCCGCACCUACAACAACCGCCACAGCAACAUCAUCAAAACCAGGGAUCUAGCGGUGAGAACAAAACGAUUUGGAUCGGUGAUUUGCAUCACUGGAUGGACGAAAAUUAUCUCCAUACCUGUUUUGCUUCCACCGGCGAGAUUGCUGCCAUUAAGGUUAUUCGCAAUAAGCAGACUGGUUUGUCUGAGGGCUAUGGAUUUGUGGAAUUUUUUACACAUGCAAAAGCUGAGAAUGUUCUGCAGACCUAUACUGGCAUUUUGAUGCCUAAUACAGAACAGCCUUUCCGUCUCAACUGGGCAACAUUUAGCACGGGUGAUAAGCGAUCAGACAAUGCGCCUGAUCUUUCUAUUUUUGUUGGAGAUUUAGCUGCAGAUGUUACUGAUAGUAUAUUGCAUGAAACUUUUGCUGGUAGAUAUCCAUCUGUUAAAGCUGCUAAAGUUGUAUUUGAUGCCAAUACUGGCCGUUCAAAAGGUUAUGGUUUUGUGAGAUUUGGAGAUGAUAGUGAAAGAGCACAGGCUAUGACAGAAAUGAAUGGUGUACAUUGUUCAAGCAGGCCUAUGCGUAUUGGUGCUGCAACACCCAGGAAGUCCUCUGGAUAUCAGCAACAAGGCGGAUAUUCAUCAAAUGGUGCCUCUGGACAUGGCUUCCAAUCAGAUGGUGAUUCCACUAAUACAACAAUAUUUGUUGGAGGACUUGACCCUAAUGUCACUGAUGAAGAUCUCAAGCAACCUUUUUCUCAAUAUGGUGAGAUAGUUUCCAUUAAAAUUCCAGUUGGUAAAGGAUGUGGAUUUGUACAAUUUGGCAGCAGGUAAAACUUGUAGUUCUGCUCUGCUUUACAUUUUAAGGAAAUGCUAAGGUAUGAGUUCUGUUAUUUCCUCAUAUUGAGUUCUUACAUAGUCUGCCAUCUAACUUCUAUUGACAGGAGUAAUGCUGAGGAGGCAUUGCAAAAAUUGAAUGGGACAGUAAUUGGCAAGCAAACAGUGCGUCUUUCUUGGGGUCGCAAUCCAGCAAAUAAGCAGGUAUGCAUGUCAGUUCCUUGUGCCUCCUUCCCAAUAAGAAAACUUCAACUUAUGAACAUUGCUGAUUCCAGGGUGUAAUUAUCUUGGAGGAAACAGUUUGAAUGAGUUUUAGCAGUUCAAAGGUUUCAUUCUUAAGUUUUGUGGGAUCUUUAAUUUCCCGGGAAGUAGUUGAUGCAGCUUUGUUAGAAUUAAUCAGGUUUUACUUAAAUUGUAGUCUUGACAUAAAAAAUGGAAAUUUAUUUCACAGCAAUCGAAGUGAUCUGAAAGUAUAUGUGGAACCAGCCAUUAUUAGAAAUGAAUUGUGUUAAAUAUGCUACUAGAUUAUUUAUUUUCUUCUGUUAUUUUGAGGAUUUGACAGUUUCGAUCAGAUUUUGGCAACCAAUGGAGUGGGGCAUACUACGGAGGGCAGGUUUACGAUGGCUAUGGAUAUGCUUUGCCGCCACCUCAUGAUCCAAGUAUGUAUGCUGCAGCAGCUGCAGCAUAUGGCGCUUACCCUGUGUAUGGAAGCCACCAACAGCAAGUAAGCUGAAAUAAUCGCAACAUAAAAACACGUAGUUCUAGCAAUCUGGAUUUGUCACGCUAGAAGAGGCAAACCUGUCUCAUUUCUCCGUAGCUCUUUUGGAUCUGUAGAAUUCUUAUAAAUCCCUCCAAUUUGUGGAGAGGAACCGAAUUUUGAUGACCUGAGGUAGUCUUCAAUGGAUUUAAUUAAUUAUUUGUUUAAAAUUACGGUAGCUGAGGUAAAACGUAUUUAUUGGAAUGGGAUGCAUGAAUUGGUGAACGUGUGGAAGAGUGCACCAUGAAUAAAACAUGUGGUCUAAUAUGUGUGUUCCAUGUGCGUUUAUCUUAGAUAUAUACUGUAGUGCCUUCAUGUUGAAUGUAGGUAAUUAAAAUUUUUAUCUAAACUUUGAUGUGUUUUUGGCAGAUGGGAGUGAAUGGAGAUUUUUUUUGAAAGUGAGGUAAAGUAAAA